This 249-nucleotide long non-coding RNA is filed under the name Panax ginseng (ginseng). RNAcentral describes it as "long non-coding RNA (PGIN_LNC004404)". The record is from RNAcentral. Lineage: Eukaryota; Viridiplantae; Streptophyta; Magnoliopsida; Apiales; Araliaceae.
UGCAAUAGUGAAGUAGCAGAAUACUCUUAUUCUUGCUCUCUAUAGUUUCUCUCUCCAUAGUUUCUCUUGUGAAUCUCAGUGAAUUGAUGGGAAUGAAAGAAGAAUUAAGCUUCUAUUUAUAGGAGAAUGGACUGAAUAGUAACUGAUUCACGAACGGUCCAGAUUGAUUUACUAUUAGAACGUACAGUUCAUAUUAAUUACUAUUAAAACCACAACCGACAGUCCAGAUUGAUUUACUUUUAAAACCAC